Molecule: ribosomal RNA, 425 nt
Filed under: uncultured bacterium
Lineage: Bacteria
Description: partial 16S ribosomal RNA
Rfam family: Bacterial small subunit ribosomal RNA
Source: RNAcentral
GUGGGGAAUCUUAGACAAUGGGCGCAAGCCUGAUCUAGCCAUGCCGCGUGAUCGAUGAAGGCCUUAGGGUUAUAAAGAUCUUUCGCUGGGGAAGAUAAUGACCGUACCCAGUAAAGAAGCCCCGGCUAACUCCGUGCCAGCAGCCGCGGUAAUACGGAGGGGGCUAGCGUUAUUCGGAAUUACUGGGCGUAAAGCGCACGUAGGCGGACUGGAAAGUUGGGGGUGAAAUCCCGGGGCUCAACCUCGGAACUGCCUUCCAAACUCCCAGUCUUGAGUUCGAGAGAGGUGAGUGGAAUUCCGGGUGUAGAGGUGAAAUUCGUAGAUAUUCGGAGGAACACCAGUGGCGAAGGCGGCUCACUGGCUCGAUACUGACGCUGAGGUGCGAAAGCGUGGGGAGCAAACAGGAUUAGAUACCCGUGUAGUCC